GGCCAGGCUGAGGACUUUGCCGGAUUAGCUGAGAGGCGGUGCAUGGCCGUCGUCAGUUCGUACUGUGAAGCAUCCUGUUAAGUCAGGCAACGAGCGAGACCCACGCCCACAGUUGCCAGCGUACUCUCUGGAGUGACGGGUACACUGUGGGGACCGCCGCUGCUAAAGCGGAGGAAGGAAUGGGCAACGGUAGGUCAGUAUGCCCCGAAUAUCCCGGGCUACACGCGAGCUACAAUGGUUGGUACAAUGGGUAUCUACCCCGAAAGGGGACGGGAAUCUCCUAAAACCAAUCUUAGUUCGGAUUGAGGGCUGCAACUCGCCCUCAUGAAGCUGGAAUCCGUAGUAAUCGCGUUUCAACAGAACGCGGUGAAUACGUCCCUGCUCCUU
RNAcentral lists this ribosomal RNA (387 nucleotides) under uncultured Methanosaeta sp. RNAcentral describes it as "bacterial SSU rRNA". It matches the Rfam family "Archaeal small subunit ribosomal RNA", at positions 952 to 1338 of the family's 1478-position model. Lineage: Archaea; Methanobacteriati; Methanobacteriota; Methanomicrobia; Methanotrichales; Methanotrichaceae. The record is from RNAcentral.